CACAGGAGAGCUUGCUCUCUGGGUGGCGAGUGGCGGACGGGUGAGGAAUACAUCGGAAUCUACUUUUUCGUGGGGGAUAACGUAGGGAAACUUACGCUAAUACCGCAUACGACCUACGGGUGAAAGCAGGGGAUCUUCGGACCUUGCGCGAUUGAAUGAGCCGAUGUCGGAUUAGCUAGUUGGCGGGGUAAAGGCCCACCAAGGCGACGAUCCGUAGCUGGUCUGAGAGGAUGAUCAGCCACACUGGAACUGAGACACGGUCCAGACUCCUACGGGAGGCAGCAGUGGGGAAUAUUGGACAAUGGGCGCAAGCCUGAUCCAGCCAUACCGCGUGGGUGAAGAAGGCCUUCGGGUUGUAAAGCCCUUUUGUUGGGAAAGAAAUCCAGCUGGCUAAUACCCGGUUGGGAUGACGGUACCCAAAGAAUAAGCACCGGCUAACUUCGUGCCAGCAGCCGCGGUAAUACGAAGGGUGCAAGCGUUACUCGGAAUUACUGGGCGUAAAGCGUGCGUAGGUGGUCGUUUAAGUCCGUUGUGAAAGCCCUGGGCUCAACCUGGGAACUGCAGUGGAUACUGGACGACUAGAGUGUGGUAGAGGGUAGCGGAAUUCCUGGUGUAGCAGUGAAAUGCGUAGAGAUCAGGAGGAACAUCCAUGGUGAAGGCAGCUACCUGGACCAACACUGACACUGAGGCACGAAAGCGUGGGGAGCAAACAGGAUUAGAUANCCUGGUAGUCCACGCCCUAAACGAUGCGAACUGGAUGUUGGGUGCAAUUUGGCACGCAGUAUCGAAGCUAACGCGUUAAGUU
Molecule: ribosomal RNA, 805 nt
Filed under: uncultured Stenotrophomonas bacterium
Lineage: Bacteria; Pseudomonadati; Pseudomonadota; Gammaproteobacteria; Lysobacterales; Lysobacteraceae
Description: bacterial SSU rRNA
Rfam family: Bacterial small subunit ribosomal RNA
Source: RNAcentral